CUUGAUGGGGAUUCCUCCCCUCUAUUUUUUCAGAAUGCGGUUAGGUUAGCUGUUGGCUCUAGUGAUGGGUGCUCUCCACUUUUUCAUCAAUGAUGUGCUACUCUUAUUAAGCCCUGGGUGCGGAUUUGCUGAUUGUGUAUUGACUUAUAGUUGAAUCUUUAUCUCCAGAGAAGUGGUGCUUUUCUAGGUAUUUCUAAACGCUCUUUUCUUAUUAUUGGCCUCUAUCGAAAUUGAGGUUGCGGAGGUAGCGUCAAGCUCCUAUUGCUAUCUAGUGUUUAGAGUUGUCGAUAAUGGGUUACAGCAAAUGUAAUCUUUCUAUCUUUCAACAAUAAUAAUAAUAAUAAAAAGGAACCAUUAAACAGUUGAAGAGAAAAAAGAACUAAGAGAAGAAAUCUAUCAACAAAUUGCUGUCGACAUAUGCAAAAGUAAUGCAUGCGUUUUGAAAAAUACAGACAUUAUCCAAUCUCCUUCUUACCGUGAAAACUAGGCAAAAUACUUCAAGGAAGAAGUAUAGCUUGUACAUUGAAAUUACUUACCCC
Molecule: long non-coding RNA, 539 nt
Filed under: Manihot esculenta (cassava)
Lineage: Eukaryota; Viridiplantae; Streptophyta; Magnoliopsida; Malpighiales; Euphorbiaceae
Description: long non-coding RNA (MESC_LNC003155)
Source: RNAcentral